CAGGUGUCUAUCUGUCUGUUGGUGUUGUUUAUCCUCCAGGUGUCUGUCUGUCUGUUGGUGUUGUUUAUCCUCCAGGUCUCUGUCUGUUGGUGUUGUUUAUCCUCCAGGUGUCUGUCUGUCUGUUGGUGUUGUUUAUCCUCCAGGUGUCUGUCUGUCUGUUGGUGUUGUUUAUCCUCCAGGUCUCUGUCUGUCUGUUGGUGUUGUUUAUCCUCCAGGUGUCUGUCUGUCUGUUGGUGUUGUUUAUCCUCCAGGUGUCUGUCUGUCUGUUGGUGUUGUUUACCCUCCAGGUGUCUGUCUGUCUGUUGGUGUUGUUUAUCCUCCAG
Molecule: long non-coding RNA, 323 nt
Filed under: Salmo salar (Atlantic salmon)
Lineage: Eukaryota; Metazoa; Chordata; Actinopteri; Salmoniformes; Salmonidae
Description: lncRNA (ENSSSAG00000103762.1, ENSSSAG00000109890.1)
Source: RNAcentral